This 28-nucleotide small RNA is filed under the name Bombyx mori (domestic silkworm). RNAcentral describes it as "ovarian small RNA-34751". Lineage: Eukaryota; Metazoa; Arthropoda; Insecta; Lepidoptera; Bombycidae. The record is from RNAcentral.
UGGCAGCCCGGAUGUGGCUCUCUCCUGC